UACAGAGGGUGCGAGUGUUAAUCGGAAUUACUGGGCGUAAAGCGCGCGUAGGCGGUUUGUUAAGUCGGAUGUGAAAUCCCCGGGCUCAACCUGGGAACUGCAUUCGAUACUGGCAAGCUAGAGUAUGGGAGAGGAUGGUAGAAUUCCAGGUGUAGCGGUGAAAUGCGUAGAGAUCUGGAGGAACACCGAUGGCGAAGGCAGCCAUCUGGCCUAAUACUGACGCUGAGGUGCGAAAGCAUGGGGAGCAAACAGG
This 253-nucleotide ribosomal RNA is filed under the name uncultured bacterium. Its description in RNAcentral is "partial 16S ribosomal RNA". It matches the Rfam family "Bacterial small subunit ribosomal RNA", at positions 524 to 776 of the family's 1533-position model. The record is from RNAcentral.